CCUGCAGUGGUCCCACUAGAAUAAGAGGCUUCAUGGUAUCAUAGAUUCCGAAAUAGAGACCUCGAUAUAGAGUGAUACCCACAAUGGACACACUGAAACCUCGAUAUAAUCCACGAAUACCAUCAGUUUUAAGUGUCUUUUUGUAGACAUCAAGCAGCCCACUGAACUGACGUUUGCUUCCCUGUGAUUCAAUUGCAUCAGUAGCUAGCCUUGUCCGUGCAUAAUCCAG
Molecule: small RNA, 229 nt
Filed under: Oryza sativa Japonica Group (Japanese rice)
Lineage: Eukaryota; Viridiplantae; Streptophyta; Magnoliopsida; Poales; Poaceae
Description: sRNA Os11g0661350
Source: RNAcentral